RNAcentral lists this ribosomal RNA (449 nucleotides) under uncultured bacterium. Its description in RNAcentral is "partial 16S ribosomal RNA". It matches the Rfam family "Bacterial small subunit ribosomal RNA", at positions 29 to 523 of the family's 1533-position model. The record is from RNAcentral.
AACGAACGCUGGCGGCAUGCCUAACACAUGCAAGUCGAACGAAGCCUUCGGGCUUAGUGGCGCACAGGUGCGUAACGCGUGGGAAUCUGCCCUUUGGUUCGGAAUAACAGUUGGAAACGACUGCUAAUACCGGAUGAUGACGAAAGUCCAAAGAUUUAUCGCCAGAGGAUGAGUCCGCGUAGGAUUAGCUAGUUGGUGUGGUAAAGGCGCACCAAGGCGACGAUCCUUAGCUGGUCUGAGAGGAUAAUCAGCCACACUGGGACUGAGACACGGCCCAGACUCCUACGGGAGGCAGCAGUGGGGAAUAUUGGACAAUGGGCGAAAGCCUGAUCCAGCAAUGCCGCGUGAGUGAUGAAGGCCCUAGGGUUGUAAAGCUCUUUUACCCGGGAUGAUAAUGACAGUACCGGGAGAAUAAGCCCCGGCUAACUCCGUGCCAGCCGCCGCAGUAA